GUCGAGCGGAACGACUUAACUGAACCUUCGGGGAACGUUAAGGGCGUCGAGCGGCGGACGGGUGAGUAAUGCCUGGGAAUAUGCCUUGAUGUGGGGGAUAACCAUUGGAAACGAUGGCUAAUACCGCAUAAUCUCUUCGGAGCAAAGAGGGGGACCUUCGGGCCUCUCGCGUCAAGAUUAGCCCAGGUGGGAUUAGCUAGUUGGUGAGGUAAUGGCUCACCAAGGCGACGAUCCCUAGCUGGUCUGAGAGGAUGAUCAGCCACACUGGAACUGAGACACGGUCCAGACUCCUACGGGAGGCAGCAGUGGGGAAUAUUGCACAAUGGGCGCAAGCCUGAUGCAGCCAUGCCGCGUGUGUGAAGGAGGCCUUCGGGUUGUAAAGCACUUUCAGCAGUGAGGAAGGUGGUGUCGUUAAUAGCGGCAUCAUUUGACGUUAGCUGCAGAAGAAGCACCGGCUAACUCCGUGCCAGCAGCCGCGGUAAUACGGAGGGUGCGAGCGUUAAUCGGAAUUACUGGGCGUAAAGCGCAUGCAGGUGGUUUGUUAAGUCAGAUGUGAAAGCCCGGGGCUCAACCUCGGAACCGCAUUUGAAACUGGCAGGCUAGAGUACUGUAGAGGGGGGUAGAAUUUCGGGUGUAGCGGUGAAAUGCGUAGAGAUCUGAAG
RNAcentral lists this ribosomal RNA (662 nucleotides) under uncultured bacterium. RNAcentral's name for it is "bacterial SSU rRNA". It matches the Rfam family "Bacterial small subunit ribosomal RNA", at positions 61 to 703 of the family's 1533-position model. The record is from RNAcentral.